Molecule: long non-coding RNA, 263 nt
Filed under: Elaeis guineensis (African oil palm)
Lineage: Eukaryota; Viridiplantae; Streptophyta; Magnoliopsida; Arecales; Arecaceae
Description: long non-coding RNA (EGUI_LNC066127)
Source: RNAcentral
CAAUGCCAUAGAAGAUAAGGAAAGAUUAUAUAAGGAAGUUGGAAUUUGAUUUCGAACAGGAUUUCUUUUUAGGAUGAGAUUUGAUCUCAUCAAACUCCUUCCGCCACCUUUUAAAGAGCCAUAUUUUUGUGCAACAAGAUAUAUAGGUUUUUGACCAUAGGACAUCAGAUUUUUAGCAUCAAAAUCAGAAGGAGAAGGUGCACCCCUAAGCUCUCUUACAUGCCUAAAUAUUAGGAAGAGGCAUAGAAGAGUUGGACGUUCCC